RNAcentral lists this ribosomal RNA (433 nucleotides) under uncultured bacterium. Its description in RNAcentral is "partial 16S ribosomal RNA". It matches the Rfam family "Bacterial small subunit ribosomal RNA", at positions 29 to 507 of the family's 1533-position model. The record is from RNAcentral.
AACGAACGCUGGCGGCAUGCCUAACACAUGCAAGUCGAACGAGACCUUCGGGUCUAGUGGCGCACGGGUGCGUAACGCGUGGGAACCUGCCCUUAGGUUCGGAAUAACUCCCCGACAGGGGUGCUAAUACCGGAUAAUGUCUUCGGACCAAAGAUUUAUCGCCUUUGGAUGGGCCCGCGUUGGAUUAGCUAGUUGGUAGGGUAAAAGCCUACCAAGGCGACGAUCCAUAGCUGGUCUGAGAGGAUGAUCAGCCACACUGGGACUGAGACACGGCCUAGACUCCUACGGGAGGCAGCAGUGGGGAAUAUUGGACAAUGGGCGAAAGCCUGAUCCAGCAAUGCCGCGUGAGUGAUGAAGGCCUUAGGGUUGUAAAGCUCUUUUACCCGGGAUGAUAAUGACAGUACCGGGAGAAUAAGCUCCGGCUAACUCCGUG